Salvia splendens (bonfire salvia) is the source of this 2488-nucleotide long non-coding RNA. RefSeq lists it as uncharacterized. The record is from RefSeq and is a predicted model, not a curated record. NCBI's taxonomy places the organism in Eukaryota, Viridiplantae, Streptophyta, Magnoliopsida, Lamiales, Lamiaceae. The transcript is spliced from 3 exons.
GCACUUGUGAGUCGUACAAUGUAUCGUAAAUUAUUGAGAACCUUGUUUCACCUCAAAAAAAGAAAAAAAGGCUCCAAAUAUUUAGAAGUUUUCCCUUCAAAUUUCUAAUUAUUCAGUUUUCAACUCAUUUUGCCCUGAAAUUUCAAUCAGCUUUCGCCUAACAUUUUCCCCUGAUUCUCUAAUUUCUAAUUAUUCAAUUUUCAACUCAUUUUGCCCUGAAAUUUCAAUCAGCUACGGAGAAAUCUGCUACUCUGCAAUCUGCUUCCCAGAGAUAGCAAUAGCAAGAUGGAAAGCCUAAUAAUUUUCAUAGUCUCGAUUUUUUUAUUUAUUUGUGAAGAUUUAACCUUUUUGAUUGUGUUUAAAUUGUGAAGCCUGCAAGGAAAUUGGAUUCGACCACCGACAAAGUAAAGAAGCCACGUCGCUACCGCCGGGAACGGUUGCUUUUAGGUUCCACAAAUGUUACCACAAAUUGAAAUUACUCCUAAGAAGGUCUCCUAACUUCGUAUACAAAUCUUUAUUUCAAUUCUAGUGACAAAAUAAGGAUCUUCACAAGUUUAUGUGCCAUCACAAAACAGUGUACUAAUAUAUGUUCCUUAUUUCUUCUUGUAAAAUGCUCCUUAUUUGCUUAUGAUUGAAGCAACAGUUGUGAAAGAAAUGUUUUGUGCUUGUGCAGUUGUGCUUUAAAAGUUAUUGGUGCUACUGCUUUUUGAUUUUUUUCUACAAUUGGAGUAGUUUGUCACCGUUUCUGUGGAAUCCUGUACGUAUUUGGAACUAGGUAGGCUAUAUUUGCUGUGUUUUGGUUUGCAGGAUUUGAAAAACAUGAGAACAUGAAUAAUGGCUUACUUUCUGUUGCAGCUGCUUCAACAAAUAGUGCUUAUGGUACUUAAUUUUCUUAUGUUUGUGUGCUUGUUAGUUCACAUCCUUUUUUGGGAGGGGAAAAGCUGAAUUUUUUAUAGGUAGUUGCUUCAACAAAUAUUGCUUAUGGUACUAAAUUUUCUUAUCUUUGUUUGCUUUUUAGUUCACAUUCCUUUUUUGAGAAGGGAAAAGCUGAACUUUUUUAUAGGUAGUUGUUUAUGGGGGCUCUGGACUGUGCUAUCUUGCUUGGUAGUUUUCAUUUAUUGGUUUUUAGUGUUCAAAGGUCGUAGUACGGUUUAUUAAAAGUUUAAACACACAUGGAUGCAUUUAGUAUUUGAUAAUUCAGAUUUUGUUCCUGUAGUUAGGAUCCACCAUAUACUUACAGUAUGUUAGUAGAAUAAACAUUUAUAAAUAAUUUAUCCUAUAUUAAUUAGGUUUCAAUAUUAGUUGAUGUGAAUAUAUAUGCUUAGUAUUGAUUGUUAUUCAUAGUAUUUGUUUAUUGGCUUAUUAAUCAGAUAGUAAUAUGACGACGACAGACAUUUACUUGAGGAAAUGUUGAUUUUCUGGAACUUCUGCAUAUUCUGGUUUGAGUUCAUCGAAAGUUAAGAAGUAGAUGAAUGUGAAUAUGUUGUUAAAAUACUUGGUCAAUUUGGAUCUUGUAAGUUAUAAAUAUUAAUGAUUAAGUUGAAACAACUAACUUUAUAUUUUACUAUUUAGUUUUAAUUUUUUGAAGCAUUGAAUCUAAGUGUAUUAUGUAAAUUAUGCGUGCUUAGUAUUUAAGUGGUAACAACUUUAUGUUUAACUUCCAUCACUAUUAAACAACUAUUUCAAAGUCAGUUUUUUUGGCUUUUUCUCUGAACUGCUAUUCUCUUUCCACUUCAAGCAUGUGCUAGUUGCAUAUUAGAUCCUUGAUUCUGCCAAGCUUUUAGAAAAUAGAGUAACCGAUAAAGAUCUUAUUCUAUAUUACAAUGCUUAAGUAUUCCAGGGAGCAAUAGUGAUUAUGUCAAAUACGCCUCCUACUGCGAGAAAUAUUGUUGAUGCUACUUUUGACCGACAACACCAUGUAAAUGGUGGUAAAAAGUGUAUCAAAAGAAUAAGACAUCAAAGAUUACUCUAGUUUUUCUUGAAUUGCUAAUUAUUGUUUUCUAUCUCUUACAGAAAUGGGAACAAAGAUGCAUUACAAAAGCUACUUCCCAGGGGUUAAGAUGGUGAGACCUUAAUGAUGAUUCUAGCAGUAGUAGUUGGACCUUAUCUUACAGGACCAAUAUGGUGGCAAAGAAUGCUUGUAGUAUUUAAGAAUCUGCAGGAAAGAGUGAUGGAUUUUUUGGAGGGUAUACAACUCUAUUAAAUAAAGAUUUAUAGGUUGCGUCGCAGAGAACAUUUGCUCAUUUGACAGCAAUAAGAGACUCACGUAUCUAAAGAAGCAAGCAUGUCUCGUGCAAAUAUGUUAUGCACUUUUGGAUAGAUAGGACUUUACAGUUUUUACUACAUGGAAGAUGAACAACACUUAAUAUGUUCAGUAUGCGUGUGAAAAAACACAUUACAUUUUGGCAUUAGAUACUUGGAAUUUUUGUUACUUAAAUAUGACAUUUUAUUUUAAUGAGUUGUUUAUGUAAUUUUGUUGGAUGAAUAA